UGGGGAAUCUUCCGCAAUGGACGAAAGUCUGACGGAGCAACGCCGCGUGAGUGAAGAAGGUUUUCGGAUCGUAAAGCUCUGUCUUUGAGGACGAAUGUGCUUAAUGUGAAUAAUGUUAAGUAAUGACGGUACUCGAGGAGGAAGCCACGGCUAACUACGUGCCAGCAGCCGCGGUAAUACGUAGGUGGCAAGCGUUGUCCGGAAUUAUUGGGCGUAAAGCGCGCGCAGGCGGGAUAUUAAGUCUGUUUUAAAAGUUCGGGGCUCAACCCCGUGAUGGAAUGGAAACUAAUAUUCUUGAGUGCAGGAGAGGAAAGUGGAAUUCCCAGUGUAGCGGUGAAAUGCGUAGAUAUUGGGAGGAACACCAGUGGCGAAGGCGACUUUCUGGACUGUGUCUGACGCUGAGGCGCGAAAGCCAGGGGAGUGAACGGG
This 429-nucleotide ribosomal RNA is filed under the name uncultured bacterium. Its description in RNAcentral is "bacterial SSU rRNA". It matches the Rfam family "Bacterial small subunit ribosomal RNA", at positions 355 to 776 of the family's 1533-position model. The record is from RNAcentral.